Molecule: transfer RNA, 71 nt
Filed under: Gordonia phage Evaa
Lineage: Duplodnaviria; Heunggongvirae; Uroviricota; Caudoviricetes
Description: tRNA-Arg
Rfam family: tRNA
About the family: Transfer RNA (tRNA) molecules are approximately 80 nucleotides in length. Their secondary structure includes four short double-helical elements and three loops (D, anti-codon, and T loops).
Source: RNAcentral
GGGGAUGUGCCCACGGCGGGCACGCGGUCUUCUAAACCGCUGAUCCUGGGUUCGACUCCCAGCAUCUCCAC